RNAcentral lists this small RNA (28 nucleotides) under Bombyx mori (domestic silkworm). RNAcentral's name for it is "ovarian small RNA-15384". Lineage: Eukaryota; Metazoa; Arthropoda; Insecta; Lepidoptera; Bombycidae. The record is from RNAcentral.
GACAUCAACGAAAACAGGUAAAUAAAAA